UAAUUUGAUGUUGGGUUUUGGGUCUGGC
This 28-nucleotide non-coding RNA is filed under the name Rattus norvegicus (Norway rat). Lineage: Eukaryota; Metazoa; Chordata; Mammalia; Rodentia; Muridae. The record is from RNAcentral.